This 71-nucleotide microRNA precursor is filed under the name Mus spretus (western wild mouse). RNAcentral describes it as "microRNA 6899 (ENSMSPG00010020136.1)". The record is from RNAcentral. Lineage: Eukaryota; Metazoa; Chordata; Mammalia; Rodentia; Muridae.
CAGGCAGCAGAACCCAGUGGGCAUGUGAUCCUCCUUCCUUGCUGACCAUGGUCCUUCUGUGUCUUCUGCAG